This 201-nucleotide ribosomal RNA is filed under the name uncultured bacterium. RNAcentral describes it as "partial 16S ribosomal RNA". The record is from RNAcentral.
GACAGAGGGUGCAAACGUUGUUCGGAAUUACUGGGGCGUAAAAGCGCGUGUAGGCUUGCUCAGAAAGUCGGAUGAGAAACGGCCCUGGGACCUUUGAAACCGUAGGAAGUGCAUUCGAAACAUUCUGGAGCUGGAGCUUCGUGGAGAGGGGAAAGGCGGGAAAUUUCUCCGGUGUAGAGGUGAAAAUUCGUAGAUAUCGAG